Molecule: long non-coding RNA, 809 nt
Filed under: Eutrema salsugineum
Lineage: Eukaryota; Viridiplantae; Streptophyta; Magnoliopsida; Brassicales; Brassicaceae
Description: long non-coding RNA (ESAL_LNC001308)
Source: RNAcentral
AAAUAUUGGUAUUUUCAAAUUUUCAUUUUUCAUACACAAUCCCCAUAACCACCUGUGAUUCCAGUUGCAGAGGCGGUGGAUUCGCUACUAGAAAAUCCAAGUGCAAUCCAAAUUCUUUACCAGCAUAUGCAGAAAAGCUUAAUCAUUGACUUUCAGAUUCAUAUGGAUUUAAUUGACAUGGUUGCAAUGGACAUGGACAUGGCCGCUAUACACAGACAUGGUCACGUUGUACAAAACAUAAUGGAACAGGGUCACAUUGUACAAAACAUAAUGGAACAUGGUCAUGAUGGACAAUACAUCAUGGACAUGGUCAUGAUGGAUAAAAUAUCAUGGAUAUAGUUACGAUGGAAUAGAUAUCGUGUACAGAAUAUCACUAUCUCACCUGCCUCAUUUUCUGGCGUGGUCGCGGAAGCGUCUGGGAGUGCUAGCUCUUACGCGUAUGACUUCAUAACUCUUCUGCCGACAGUUUCAGAGCACGACCAGCUUAGUCCACGGAUUCGUAAUGGUGGGAAGACUUUUGUUCGAGAAUCGAUGAGUUUCCACGAGAUCUAUCUCCGGCGAGAGAGAAGAGAGAAGAAGAAAAAAAGAAAACUCAAGGAGAGAGCGCAAAGAUCUAAAUACGAGAGACAUGGUUAUCGGAUUGACAGAUCUGAGAAAGAGAGAAAAAAGGAGAAAAUGAGAGAAGGAAAGAAAUAGAGAAAGGUGUUUCUCGUUUUGGGAGAGAAAGAAAGAGAGAGUGAUUAAAACUAUUUUAUUAAUAUUUGACUCCCCCAAAAAAUUAUUGGUUUACAAAUCAAAAAUAACUAAAC